GCGAUACAGGGUGACAGCCCCGUACACAAAAAUGCACAUGCUGUGAGCUCGAUGAGUAGGGCGGGACACGUGGUAUCCUGUCUGAAUAUGGGGGGACCAUCCUCCAAGGCUAAAUACUCCUGACUGACCGAUAGUGAACCAGUACCGUGAGGGAAAGGCGAAAAGAACCCCGGCGAGGGGAGUGAAAAAGAACCUGAAACCGUGUACGUACAAGCAGUGGGAGCAC
RNAcentral lists this ribosomal RNA (226 nucleotides) under Escherichia coli. Its description in RNAcentral is "partial 23S ribosomal RNA". It matches the Rfam family "Bacterial large subunit ribosomal RNA", at positions 354 to 582 of the family's 2925-position model. The record is from RNAcentral. Lineage: Bacteria; Pseudomonadati; Pseudomonadota; Gammaproteobacteria; Enterobacterales; Enterobacteriaceae.